RNAcentral lists this transfer-messenger RNA (490 nucleotides) under Rickettsiales bacterium. It matches the Rfam family "Alphaproteobacteria transfer-messenger RNA". Rfam says of the family: Bacterial tmRNA, also known as 10Sa RNA or SsrA, is named for its dual tRNA and mRNA-like properties. Its role is to liberate the mRNA from a stalled ribosome. The record is from RNAcentral. Lineage: Bacteria; Pseudomonadati; Pseudomonadota; Alphaproteobacteria; Rickettsiales.
AAACUUGCAAUUUCCACAGGAAAGAUUAUAAUGAUGGUGUUGCGAAAGCAAAGAUGAUUCUGAAUCCGUUGUGAAAUAGUCGUUUUGGACUGGGGGGCGGUACCCCACAGCUCCACCAAUUUUUCAGGGUUUUCCCCCCGAAACUUGGAAAGAAAUUGAUUGUGAUUGCGUCGGAUGCGAAGAUUUUCACAAAGGGGGGUGCACAAAAAACGCACGCGACCCGACAUAGAAAGCAAGCAUGCGCCAAUCAGAAUCAAUUUAUCGGGGCUGACAUAGAUUCGACAGGCGAUAAAAGACAAAUUGGAUGAAUCCGACAUGGCGUCGUUAAAAGCCGAACAAAAACUGAAUGGCGAUAGAUUCGCUGCGAACGACAACGUUCGCCUUGCAUUGGCCGCUUGAUAAAGCGCGGGGUUCCGCCGGCGAUUGUUGGCGGGGCUCAUAACAGGCUAAUGCGGGGUCGCCCAACACCCGGCAACAGAAGUUGGGCAUU